UACGUAGGGUGCAAGCGUUAAUCGGAAUUACUGGGCGUAAAGCGUGCGCAGGCGGUUGUGCAAGACAGGUGUGAAAUCCCCGGGCUCAACCUGGGAACUGCAUUUGUGACUGCACAGCUGGAGUGCGGCAGAGGGGGAUGGAAUUCCGCGUGUAGCAGUGAAAUGCGUAGAUAUGCGGAGGAACACCGAUGGCGAAGGCAAUCCCCUGGGCCUGCACUGACGCUCAUGCACGAAAGCGUGGGGAGCAAACAGG
Molecule: ribosomal RNA, 253 nt
Filed under: uncultured bacterium
Lineage: Bacteria
Description: partial 16S ribosomal RNA
Rfam family: Bacterial small subunit ribosomal RNA
Source: RNAcentral